UACGUAGGGUGCAAGCGUUGUUCGGAAUUACUGGGCGUAAAGGGCGCGUAGGCGGUUCGAUAAGUCCCGUGUGAAAUCCCUCGGCUCAACUGAGGAAUGGCACGGGAAACUGACGGGCUUGAGUUCGGGAGAGGGAAGCGGAAUUCCGGGUGUAGCGGUGAAAUGCGUAGAUAUCCGGAGGAACACCGGUGGCGAAGGCGGCUUCCUGGACCGACACUGACGCUGAGGCGCGAAAGCUAGGGGAGCAAACGGG
Molecule: ribosomal RNA, 253 nt
Filed under: uncultured bacterium
Lineage: Bacteria
Description: partial 16S ribosomal RNA
Rfam family: Bacterial small subunit ribosomal RNA
Source: RNAcentral